UACGAAGGGGGCUAGCGUUGCUCGGAAUCACUGGGCGUAAAGGGUGCGUAGGCGGGUCUUUUAAGUCAGGGGUGAAAUCCUGGAGCUCAACUCCAGAACUGCCUUUGAUACUGAAGAUCUUGAGUUCGGGAGAGGUGAGUGGAACUGCGAGUGUAGAGGUGAAAUUCGUAGAUAUUCGCAAGAACACCAGUGGCGAAGGCGGCUCACUGGCCCGAUACUGACGCUGAGGCACGAAAGCGUGGGGAGCCAAACAGG
Molecule: ribosomal RNA, 255 nt
Filed under: uncultured bacterium
Lineage: Bacteria
Description: partial 16S ribosomal RNA
Rfam family: Bacterial small subunit ribosomal RNA
Source: RNAcentral